This 90-nucleotide transfer RNA is filed under the name Sedimentibacter sp. Its description in RNAcentral is "tRNA-Ser". It matches the Rfam family "tRNA". Rfam says of the family: Transfer RNA (tRNA) molecules are approximately 80 nucleotides in length. Their secondary structure includes four short double-helical elements and three loops (D, anti-codon, and T loops). Further hydrogen bonds mediate the characteristic L-shaped molecular structure. tRNAs have two regions of fundamental functional importance: the anti-codon, which is responsible for specific mRNA codon recognition, and the 3' end, to which the tRNAs corresponding amino acid is attached (by aminoacyl-tRNA synthetases). tRNAs cope with the degeneracy of the genetic code in two manners: having more than one tRNA (with a specific anti-codon) for a particular amino acid; and 'wobble' base-pairing, i.e. permitting non-standard base-pairing at the 3rd anti-codon position. RNAcentral also lists the same sequence under 1 other name. Lineage: Bacteria; Bacillati; Bacillota; Tissierellia. The record is from RNAcentral.
GGAGAGUUGUCCGAGUGGCUUAAGGAGCACGCCUGGAAAGCGUGUGUACGGGAAACUGUAUCGAGGGUUCGAAUCCCUUGCUCUCCGCCA